GGGAGGGAGAGAUCUUUAUAUAUGAAGUUGAUAACAAUCAUUUCAAACAAUGAAAAGAAGAGGAGAAUCAUCUUCUUUUGAGAAAACCAUGCAUCAUUACAAUAAAAUAAAGUCUUUAAAAACAAAAGGGAAAUAUUGGGUAGUAGAUUUCUUCCCCACAUGGCUACAAAAGUAUAUAUUGUAGAUCAAAGCACCACAAGUACAAUGAUAUACUUCUUAUGGGAAGCCUCAAAAAUUGCCAAAGGGGUCACACAUUGCUUUAACUGAUGAACAUGGGCUUUAAACCAUGUUUACACCUCAAGAACCUAACACCCAAAAGAAAUAAUAAAAAGAAAAAAAGUAGUAACAUUCUUUAAUUAAUAUUGUCUCUCUUGGUUGCUGCAAUUCCUGAAAGUGAUAAAGCAAUUUAAAAUUAUGCAAUGUUCACCAACUAAGAUGAGUAAUAAGUAUAUAAUAAAGCUGAUCAGUAAUAAGUAUUCCAUACCCAGUAAUGGAGAAAACAUUAAACGUGUCUAGUAUGAAGUUCUGUUACUAAGGUCUCUAGGGGCAUUGCAUUUGAAACACUCCAUUCUGCUUGCAAAGUUGUGUUCAUUGCAUCCCCACCUGUCCACAUGAAUUGUGCAGCAGAGGGUUAUUAUAAAUUUUACUGCACAAACACUCCAAGAAAGAGAUUCUGAAAGUGUCUCUCACAUGCAAAAGUAGUCAAAACUAGAGUUCGAUACUUGGUAGAGCUUUUAGCACUUAUUGUAGAUGGGAAAUUCUUGACUAAAUUCGGUCUGUUAUGGACCCAAAGAAAAUAUGCAUAAUGGGAUCACAUAUUUGUGUCCGGACUGUAAAUUUUUUCUAUAUAGUAUCUUUUAUGAAGGAAAGUGGCUAUACAGCCAAAAGGAAAAGUUACUGUUGCAUUAAAGCUGGCAAUUGCAAUUGCACUAGCAGGCAUAGGUUGGUGGUAAUUGAUUCGCAGAAGAAAAAAUUUAGAUACCUGGUGCAGAUCCAAUCGCCAGAUUUCCAACCAGAACGAUUGCUGCCACUGCCAAUGCCUCUAGAGCGAGGAAUGUCAGAGUCGAAGCCACCACCAGAAUCAUCUUUGUACACACCACAUUUGAAGCAACUUGAGCGGCUUGCAAAGUUGUGGGCUCCACAGUUGCCGGCAGUGCAGUACCAAUCCCCGGGACGAACAUCUGACCCCGUGAAUCCAAAUGAUGACCCACCUGAAGAUCUCCCACCAAAACCUCCAAGGUCACCUCCAGACCUUGAGUCCCCACAGCGCUGGCACGACUCACGUCUCUGAAAGUUCAGGUGCUGGCAUGACCUGCAGUUCCAGUCUCCUGGCCUACUCAUACUCUCUUUGAAGUAGAAAGACUGAAAGGGAUUCAGAAAGAGUUGAAGGUGAUGAAGCCAAGAAUAGAAAAAUCAAGAAAAUGGUGGUCCCCA
This 1434-nucleotide unclassified non-coding RNA is filed under the name Hevea brasiliensis (rubber tree). Lineage: Eukaryota; Viridiplantae; Streptophyta; Magnoliopsida; Malpighiales; Euphorbiaceae. The record is from RNAcentral.